GACGAACGCUGGCGGCGUGCUUAACACAUGCAAGUCGAACGGAAAGGCCCUGCUUGCAGGGUGCUCGAGUGGCGAACGGGUGAGUAACACGUGGGUGAUCUGCCCCUUACUUUGGGAUAAGCCUGGGAAACUGGGUCUAAUACUGGAUAGGACCAUGCUGUAGGUGGUGUGGUGGAAAGAUUAGUUUCGGUAAGGGAUGAGCUCGCGGCCUAUCAGCUUGUUGGUGGGGUAAUGGCCUACCAAGGCGUCGACGGGUAGCCGGCCUGAGAGGGUGGACGGCCACAUUGGGACUGAGAUACGGCCCAGACUCCUACGGGAGGCAGCAGUGGGGAAUAUUGCACAAUGGGCGCAAGCCUGAUGCAGCGACGCCGCGUGUGGGAUGACGGCCUUCGGGUUGUAAACUCCUUUCAGCCAUGACGAAGCCCUUGUGGUGACGGUAGUGGUAGAAGAAGCACCGGCUAACUACGUG
This 469-nucleotide ribosomal RNA is filed under the name uncultured bacterium. Its description in RNAcentral is "partial 16S ribosomal RNA". It matches the Rfam family "Bacterial small subunit ribosomal RNA", at positions 28 to 507 of the family's 1533-position model. The record is from RNAcentral.